GUGCCAGCAGCCGCGGUAAUACGAAGGGGGCUAGCGUUGUUCGGAAUUACUGGGCGUAAAGCGCGCGCAGGCGGCUCUUCAAGUCAGGGGUGAAAGCCCAGAGCUCAACUCUGGAAUUGCCUUUGAGACUGUAGAGCUUGAGUACGGGAGAGGUGAGUGGAAUUCCCAGUGUAGAGGUGAAAUUCGUAGAUAUUGGGAAGAACACCGGUGGCGAAGGCGGCUCACUGGCCCGUUUCUGACGCUCAGGCGCGACAGCGUGGGGAUCAAACAGGAUUAGAUACCCCCGUAGUCC
Molecule: ribosomal RNA, 292 nt
Filed under: uncultured bacterium
Lineage: Bacteria
Description: partial 16S ribosomal RNA
Rfam family: Bacterial small subunit ribosomal RNA
Source: RNAcentral